AGUCUGGUGCCAGCAGCCGCGGUAAUUCCAGCUCCAAUAGCGUAUAUUAAAGUUGUUGCAGUUAAAAAGCUCGUAGUUGAAAUUUGGGCCUGGCUGGCCGGUCCGCCUCACCGCGUGCACUGGUCCGGCCGGGCCUUUCCUUCUGGGGAAGCCCAUGGCCUUCAUUGGCUGUGUGGGGGAACCAGGACUUUUACUUUGAAAAAAUUAGAGUGUUCAAAGCAGGCCUUUGCUCGAAUACAUUAGCAUGGAAUAAUGGAAUAGGACGGCUUUCCUAUUUUGUUGGUUUCUAGGAGAGCCGUAAUGAUUAAUAGGGAUAGUCGGGGGCAUCAGUAUUCAAUUGUCAGAUGUGAAAUUCUUGGAUUUAUUGAAGACUAACUACUGCGAAAGCAUUUGCCAAGGAUGUUUUCAUUAAUCAGUGAACGAAAGUUAGGGGAUCGAAGACGAUCAGAUACCGUCGUAGUCUUAACCAUAAACUAUGCCGACUAGGGAUCGGUCGAUGUUACAAUUUUGACUCGAUCGGCACCUUACGAGAAAUCAAAGUUUUUGGGUUCUGGGGGGAGUAUGGUCGCAAGGCUGAAACUUAAAGAAAUUGACGGAAGGGCACCACCAGGAGUGGAGCCUGCGGCUUAAUUUGACCCAACACGGGGAAACUCACCAGGUUCGGAUAUGAUAAGGAUUGACAGAUUGAGAGCUCUUUCUUGAUUUCAUAGUUGGUGGUGCAUGGCCGUUCUUAGUUGGUGGAGUGAUUUGUCUGCUUAAUUGCGAUAACGAACGAGACCUUAACCUGCUAAAUAGCCCGGCUGGCUUCGGCUGGUCGCUGGCUUCUUAGAGGGACUAUCGGCUCAAGCCGAUGGAAGUUUGAGGCAAUAACAGGUCUGUGAUGCCCUUAGAUAUCCUGGGCUGCACGCGCGCUACACUGACGGAGCCAACGAGUUCACUCCCUUGGCCGAAAGGUCUGGGUAAUCUUGUUAAACUCCGUCGUGCUGGGGAUAGUCGAUUGCAAUUAUUCGACUUCAACGAGGAAUGCCUAGUAAGCGCAUGUCAUCAGCAUGCGUUGAUUACGUCCCUGCCCUUUGUACACACCGCCCGUCGCUACUACCGAUUGAACGGCUCAGCGAGGCCUUCGGACUGACUCAGGGAGUUCGGCGACGAGCACCCAGAGAUGGAAAGUUGGUCAAACUUGGUCGUUUAGAGGAAGUAAAGUCGUAACAAGGUUUCCGUAGGUGAACCUGCGGAAG
RNAcentral lists this ribosomal RNA (1238 nucleotides) under metagenome. Its description in RNAcentral is "SSU rRNA". It matches the Rfam family "Eukaryotic small subunit ribosomal RNA", at positions 558 to 1823 of the family's 1831-position model. The record is from RNAcentral.